This 450-nucleotide ribosomal RNA is filed under the name uncultured bacterium. RNAcentral describes it as "partial 16S ribosomal RNA". It matches the Rfam family "Bacterial small subunit ribosomal RNA", at positions 354 to 796 of the family's 1533-position model. The record is from RNAcentral.
GUGGGGAAUCUUCCGCAAUGGACGAAAGUCUGACGGAGCAACGCCGCGUGAACGAUGACGGCCUUCGGGUUGUAAAGUUCUGUUAUACGGGACGAAUGGUACGACGGUCAAUACCCGUCGUAAGUGACGGUACCGUAAGAGAAAGCCACGGCUAACUACGUGCCAGCAGCCGCGGUAAUACGUAGGUGGCAAGCGUUGUCCGGAAUUAUUGGGCGUAAAGGGCGCGCAGGCGGCGUCGUAAGUCGAUCUUAAAAGUGCGGGGCUUAACCCCGUGAGGGGACCGAAACUGCGAUGCUAGAGUAUCGGAGAGGAAAGCGGAAUUCCUAGUGUAGCGGUGAAAUGCGUAGAUAUUAGGAGGAACACCAGUGGCGAAAGCGGCUUUCUGGACGACAACUGACGCUGAGGCGCGAAAGCCAGGGGAGCAAACGGGAUUAGAAACCCUAGUAGUCC